RNAcentral lists this ribosomal RNA (554 nucleotides) under Lactobacillus sp. Its description in RNAcentral is "bacterial SSU rRNA". It matches the Rfam family "Bacterial small subunit ribosomal RNA", at positions 378 to 923 of the family's 1533-position model. The record is from RNAcentral. Lineage: Bacteria; Bacillati; Bacillota; Bacilli; Lactobacillales; Lactobacillaceae.
AGGGUCUGAUGGAGCAACGCCGCGUGAGUGAAGAAGGUUUUCGGAUCGUAAAACUCUGUUGUUGGAGAAGAACGUAUUUGAUAGUAACUGAUCAGGUAGUGACGGUAUCCAACCAGAAAGCCACGGCUAACUACGUGCCAGCAGCCGCGGUAAUACGUAGGUGGCAAGCGUUGUCCGGAUUUAUUGGGCGUAAAGCGAGCGCAGGCGGUUUCUUAAGUCUGAUGUGAAAGCCUUCGGCUCAACCGAAGAAGUGCAUCGGAAACUGGGAAACUUGAGUGCAGAAGAGGACAGUGGAACUCCAUGUGUAGCGGUGAAAUGCGUAGAUAUAUGGAAGAACACCAGUGGCGAAGGCGGCUGUCUGGUCUGUAACUGACGCUGAGGCUCGAAAGCAUGGGUAGCAAACAGGAUUAGAUACCCUGGUAGUCCAUGCCGUAAACGAUGAGUGCUAGGUGUUGGAGGGUUUCCGCCCUUCAGUGCCGCAGCUAACGCAUUAAGCACUCCGCCUGGGGAGUACGACCGCAAGGUUGAAACUCAAAGGAAUUGACGGGGCCCCC